AGUGGCGAACGGGUGAGUAAAGUAUCGGAACGUGCCCAGUCGUGGGGGAUAACGUAGCGAAAGUUACGCUAAUACCGCAUACGAUCUAUGGAUGAAAGCGGGGGAUCGCAAGACCUCGCGCGAUUGGAGCGGCCGAUAUCAGAUUAGGUAGUUGGUGGGGUAAAGGCUCACCAAGCCGACGAUCUGUAGCUGGUCUGAGAGGACGACCAGCCACACUGGGACUGAGACACGGCCCAGACUCCUACGGGAGGCAGCAGUGGGGAAUUUUGGACAAUGGGCGCAAGCCUGAUCCAGCCAUGCCGCGUGCAGGAUGAAGGCCUUCGGGUUGUAAACUGCUUUUGUACGGAACGAAAAGGUUUGGCCUAAUAAGCUGAGCUCAUGACGGUACCGUAAGAAUAAGCACCGGCUAACUACGUGCCAGCAGCCGCGGUAAUACGUAGGGUGCGAGCGUUAAUCGGAAUUACUGGGCGUAAAGCGUGCGCAGGCGGUUAUGUAAGACAGAUGUGAAAUCCCCGGGCUCAACCUGGGAACUGCAUUAGUGACUGCAUAGCUGGAGUACGGCAGAGGGGGGAUGGAAUUCCGCGUGUAGCAGUGAAAUGCGUAGAUAUGCGGAGGAACACCGAUGGCGAAGGCAAUCCCCUGGGCCUGUACUGACGCUCAUGCACGAAAGCGUGG
This 675-nucleotide ribosomal RNA is filed under the name uncultured Curvibacter sp. Its description in RNAcentral is "bacterial SSU rRNA". It matches the Rfam family "Bacterial small subunit ribosomal RNA", at positions 94 to 764 of the family's 1533-position model. Lineage: Bacteria; Pseudomonadati; Pseudomonadota; Betaproteobacteria; Burkholderiales; Comamonadaceae. The record is from RNAcentral.